CAUAUUUUUAGGAAAUUUGGCAACGUCCGAAGGCUCAUAUGGCGUUUUUCCUUAGCACAGGCAAAUUAAAGUGGCUGCAUGUUCUUUUCGGAGGUGAUUUUUAAAAGGUGGCAACACUGAAUGUGAAAAUAUCGAUAUCAAUAGAUUCUAGAUGAGAUAACAACUAAAUUUGUCAGCUUUAUGCUCAAAUUAAGUUGUUACUCUCUUAUCUGCUUUUGCUGAUUAACUUGUUCUUCAUUCUAUAUGAGACGAUCAGCCUACUCUGGAAUUGAACUUUUCAGCUUUUCGAGAAACUAGAAUUUCAGCUUUUUCUAUGCUCUGCUAACUCCGCCGUGAUUGCGAAGAGAGCAGUAAGUGCAUUUCUGCAUGAGCCAUGGUUAGCACAUGCUUUUAUGUGUCUCGAUUUUCAUCGCAGCAUGCACUUACUACUCUCUUCGCUAUCACGGCAGAACUGGAACAGGAAAGAACAGGAGAAUGCUUAGGGCAUACAUUUCGGAACUUUCGUUCAAUCGUCUCUUCAAGGUGAAAAAGAUUUGGCAUCAAUAUAAGUGGAGUUCCAGAGGUGCCGGAACUAGUACCGCGACGAGGGCAGUGCCUCGUUAGGGAAUCAGGCUUUGAGAUGCGUGGAUGUCAGAUUGAACACUAAUACAUCAGUUUUCAUUCAAAAUAUUGCUGCUUUCAAAAAUCACCCUUCUCAUGGGUCGAGAUGACAGUGCAAGGUAUGAGCAUGGCGUUCAGAGAUGUCAAUGUCUGACAAGAUUGCAGACUGCACUGCCCCGGCAAGGAUUUGUGCCAGCUCAUCGUUGCUUUUACAACGUCUUCGGAAUCAUAACAAGAAUAAGGCAAUCUUGGACAUUGGCAACGUUGAUGCAUAAUUAUUCUUGGCACCACUCCCCUCGUUCCCCAGAGAUUUAUGAAAAUAAAUAUUGUCUCUCCACCCAUAGA
Molecule: long non-coding RNA, 945 nt
Filed under: Bemisia tabaci
Lineage: Eukaryota; Metazoa; Arthropoda; Insecta; Hemiptera; Aleyrodidae
Description: lncRNA ENSSSA3NGG005935
Source: RNAcentral